This 555-nucleotide ribosomal RNA is filed under the name Helotiales sp. SC10-2. RNAcentral describes it as "eukaryotic LSU rRNA". The stretch from base 215 to 368 matches the Rfam family "5.8S ribosomal RNA". The record is from RNAcentral. Lineage: Eukaryota; Fungi; Ascomycota; Leotiomycetes; Helotiales.
AAGUCGUAACAAGGUCUCCGUAGGUGAACCUGCGGAGGGAUCAUUACCGAGUUCAUGCCCUGACGGGUAGACCUCCCACCCUAUGUUAUAUUACCUUUGUUGCUUUGGCGGGCCGCCCGGCUUCGGCCAGGCUACCGGCUCCAGCUGGUAAGCGCUCGCCAGAGGACCCUCAACUCUGAAUAUCAGUGUCGUCCGAGUACUAUAAAAUAGUUAAAACUUUCAACAACGGAUCUCUUGGUUCUGGCAUCGAUGAAGAACGCAGCGAAAUGCGAUAAGUAAUGUGAAUUGCAGAAUUCAGUGAAUCAUCGAAUCUUUGAACGCACAUUGCGCCCCUUGGUAUUCCGAGGGGCAUGCCUGUUCGAGCGUCAUUACAACCCUCAAGCACUGCUUGGUAUUGGGCUCCGCUGGCUCCAGCGGGCCUUAAAAUCAGUGGCGGCGCCGUUUGGGCUCUGAGCGUAGUAAAUAUCCUCGCUAUAGAGACCGACGGUUCUUGUCAUCAGCCCCCAACUUUCUAAGUUUGACCUCGGAUCAGGUAGGGAUACCCGCUGAACUUAA